RNAcentral lists this ribosomal RNA (253 nucleotides) under uncultured bacterium. RNAcentral's name for it is "partial 16S ribosomal RNA". It matches the Rfam family "Bacterial small subunit ribosomal RNA", at positions 524 to 776 of the family's 1533-position model. The record is from RNAcentral.
UACGUAGGGUGCGAGCGUUGUCCGGAAUUAUUGGGCGUAAAGAGCUCGUAGGCGGUCUGUCGCGUCGAUCGUGAAAACUUGGGGCUCAACCCCAAGCUUGCGGUCGAUACGGGCAGGCUCGAGUUCGGUAGGGGAGACUGGAAUUCCUGGUGUAGCGGUGAAAUGCGCAGAUAUCAGGAGGAACACCGGUGGCGAAGGCGGGUCUCUGGGCCGAUACUGACGCUGAGGAGCGAAAGCGUGGGGAGCGAACAGG